AACGAACGCUGGCGGCAUGCCUAACACAUGCAAGUCGAACGAGACCUUCGGGUCUAGUGGCGCACGGGUGCGUAACGCGUGGGAACCUGCCCUUAGGUUCGGAAUAACUCCCCGAAAGGGGUGCUAAUACCGGAUAAUGUCUUCGGACCAAAGAUUUAUCGCCUUUGGAUGGGCCCGCGUUGGUUUAGCUAGUUGGUAGGGUAAAAGCCUACCAAGGCGACGAUCCAUAGCUGGUCUGAGAGGAUGAUUAGCCACACUGGGACUGAGACACGGCCCAGACUCCUACGGGAGGCAGCAGUGGGGAAUAUUGGACAAUGGGCGAAAGCCUGAUCCAGCAAUGCCGCGUGAGUGAUGAAGGCCUUAGGGUUGUAAAGCUCUUUUACCCGGGAUGAUAAUGACAGUACCGGGAGAAUAAGCUCCGGCUAACUCCGUG
This 433-nucleotide ribosomal RNA is filed under the name uncultured bacterium. Its description in RNAcentral is "partial 16S ribosomal RNA". It matches the Rfam family "Bacterial small subunit ribosomal RNA", at positions 29 to 507 of the family's 1533-position model. The record is from RNAcentral.